CUGGCGGCGUGCUUAACACAUGCAAGUCGAACGGAAAGGCCCUGCUUUUGUGGGGUGCUCGAGUGGCGAACGGGUGAGUAACACGUGAGUAACCUGCCCUUGACUUUGGGAUAACUUCAGGAAACUGGGGCUAAUACCGGAUAGGAGCUCCUGCUGCAUGGUGGGGGUUGGAAAGUUUCGGCGGUUGGGGAUGGACUCGCGGCUUAUCAGCUUGUUGGUGGGGUAGUGGCUUACCAAGGCUUUGACGGGUAGCCGGCCUGAGAGGGUGACCGGCCACAUUGGGACUGAGAUACGGCCCAGACUCCUACGGGAGGCAGCAGUGGGGAAUAUUGCACAAUGGGCGGAAGCCUGAUGCAGCAACGCCGCGUGCGGGAUGACGGCCUUCGGGUUGUAAACCGCUUUCGCCUGUGACGAAGCGUGAGUGACGGUAAUGGGUAAAGAAGCACCGGCUAACUACGUGCCAGCAGCCGCGGUGAUACGUAGGGUGCGAGCGUUGUCCGGAUUUAUUGGGCGUAAAGGGCUCGUAGGUGGUUGAUCGCGUCGGAAGUGUAAUCUUGGGGCUUAACCCUGAGCGUGCUUUCGAUACGGGUUGACUUGAGGAAGGUAGGGGAGAAUGGAAUUCCUGGUGGAGCGGUGGAAUGCGCAGAUAUCAGGAGGAACACCAGUGGCGAAGGCGGUUCUCUGGGCCUUUUCCCUGACGCUGAGGAGCGAAAGCGUGGGGAGCGAACAGGCUUAGAUACCCUGGUAGUCCACGCUGUAAACGGUGGGUACUAGGUGUGGGGUCCAUUCCACGGGUUCCGUGCCGUAGCUAACGCUUUAAGUACCCCGCCUGGGGAGUACGGCCGCAAGGCUAAAACUCAAAGGAAUUGACGGGGCCCCGCACAAGCGGCGGAGCAUGCGGAUUAAUUCGAUGCAACGCGUAGAACCUUACCUGGGUUUGACAUGGAUCGGGAGUGCUCAGAGAUGGGUGUGCCUCUUUUGGGGUCGGUUCACAGGUGGUGCAUGGCUGUCGUCAGCUCGUGUCGUGAGAUGUUGGGUUAAGUCCCGCAACGAGCGCAACCCUUGUUCACUGUUGCCAGCACGUUAUGGUGGGGACUCAGUGGAGACCGCCGGGGUCAACUCGGAGGAAGGUGGGGAUGACGUCAAGUCAUCAUGCCCCUUAUGUCCAGGGCUUCACGCAUGCUACAAUGGCUGGUACAGAGAGUGGCGAGCCUGUGAGGGUGAGCGAAUCUCGGAAAGCCGGUCUCAGUUCGGAUUGGGGUCUGCAACUCGACCUCAUGAAGUCGGAGUCGCUAGUAAUCGCAGAUCAGCAACGCUGCGGUGAAUACGUUCCCGGGGCUUGUACACACCGCCCGUCAAGUCAUGAAAGUUGGUAACACCCGAAGCCGGUGGCCUAACCGUUGUGGGGGAGCCGUCGAAGGUGGGACUGGUGAUUAGG
RNAcentral lists this ribosomal RNA (1438 nucleotides) under uncultured organism. Its description in RNAcentral is "16S ribosomal RNA". It matches the Rfam family "Bacterial small subunit ribosomal RNA". The record is from RNAcentral.